AUUGAUCAUUGAUACUUAAGUUCCUUUGUUUGAUUCAAUAAAUUAGUUAUGGGGAUGGAAGACGCUUCUCACCACCAUAUCCCUCCUUAAGCAUAAAUCAAUUAGGGAACGUCCUCUAAUUAAUUACUAAUCAACAAGUUGCCAAGGAACGUCCUUGGGCCUUUGGCAUCUAACAACUGUCAAUUGCAUUAAGAAAUAGAGAGAC
Molecule: long non-coding RNA, 205 nt
Filed under: Manihot esculenta (cassava)
Lineage: Eukaryota; Viridiplantae; Streptophyta; Magnoliopsida; Malpighiales; Euphorbiaceae
Description: long non-coding RNA (MESC_LNC007403)
Source: RNAcentral